AGGGAUGUAGCUCAGCAGUACAGUGCCUGCCUGGCAAGCACAAGGUCCUGAGUUCGAUUCCUGGUGUCCCAA
Molecule: transfer RNA, 72 nt
Filed under: Fukomys damarensis (Damara mole-rat)
Lineage: Eukaryota; Metazoa; Chordata; Mammalia; Rodentia; Bathyergidae
Rfam family: tRNA
About the family: Transfer RNA (tRNA) molecules are approximately 80 nucleotides in length.
Source: Rfam by way of RNAcentral